Schistocerca gregaria is the source of this 266-nucleotide long non-coding RNA. RefSeq lists it as uncharacterized. The transcript has 3 exons. The record is from RefSeq and is a predicted model, not a curated record. Lineage: Eukaryota; Metazoa; Arthropoda; Insecta; Orthoptera; Acrididae.
GUGACGAUAUCCUAGAGAGUUUGUUAAGUAGGGCUCUGGUUUGAGAGGAGGUAUUGUUUUGUCUCAACUUCGAGCCGUUGAUGCAGCACAGAAAUGCAUCCAACUGCAUAGUUCAGGAGUAUGAAUAUGGUUGGCUUUUGCAAUGUGACCGAUACAGGCAUAUCUGUGUGUGUCACAAAUAAUAAGAUUUCAAAAGUAUAGAGGUUUGUUCUAGUUCAUUCAUUAAGUGGAUGUUAUCUAGAGCCAGAAUAAUACGAAAGUCCGAC